This 514-nucleotide long non-coding RNA is filed under the name Marmota monax (woodchuck). Lineage: Eukaryota; Metazoa; Chordata; Mammalia; Rodentia; Sciuridae. The record is from RNAcentral.
CCUGGGAUUACAGGUGUGCACCACACGCCUGGCAUGUACACUAUUUCUUUCUCUUGACUGGCAUUGGCUAGAAUUCCAGAAUAAUGCCUCAUAAUGAUGACACUGACAACUAUGUCUCCCUCCUGACUUCAAUGGGAACAGUUCUAGGUUCAUCGUUAAAUAAGCUGCUGGCUUUUGACUUCAAAUGUAUUUUUUAUCAUGGUAAGGAGGUAUUCAAUCAUUUUAAUUUUACUGACAGCUUGUUUUGUUAAUCUGAAUGGAUGCUGAGUUUUAUACAUGCCUUUUCAGAAUCUCUGGAGAUAAUUAUGUGGUUUCUCUCCUGUGAUCCAUUAAUAUGGUAAAUAGUAAUAAUAAAUAUCCUAACAGAUUAAUCUUUGCAAUACAGCAAAAUACUGUUUUUUUUUCCAUUUUAGAAUGGCAAAGAUGAGAUUUUUAAAAAAUGUUUUUUAUAGUUGUAGAUAGACAGCAUGCCUUAGUUUAUUUGUUUAUUUUUGUGUGGUGCUGAGGAUCGAAC